AAAAAAUCAAACCAUGUAUUUCCGUGACAACGUUUGACUGUCCGUCUUAUAUGAAAUUUUUUUAUAAUUAAUAUUUUUAUUGUUGUUAGAUGAUAAAACAUGAUUAAUACUUUAUACGUGACUUAUCUUUUUAAUUUUUUUUAUAUUUUUUCAAAUAAGACGGACAGUCAAACGUUAGACACGGAAAUCAAGAUUUGUCUUUUAU
This is a non-coding RNA of Oryza barthii, 205 nucleotides long. NCBI's taxonomy places the organism in Eukaryota, Viridiplantae, Streptophyta, Magnoliopsida, Poales, Poaceae. The record is from Rfam.